UCUGGUAACUAUGGCAAAGAGGUCACACCCGUUCCCAUACCGAACACGGAAGUUAAGCUCUUUAGCGCCGAUGGUAGUUGGGGGUUUCCCCCUGUGAGAGUAGGACGUUGCCAGGC
Molecule: ribosomal RNA, 116 nt
Filed under: Bacillus sp. FJAT-42376
Lineage: Bacteria; Bacillati; Bacillota; Bacilli; Caryophanales; Bacillaceae
Also listed under: 1 other name
Source: RNAcentral